Molecule: long non-coding RNA, 1596 nt
Filed under: Linum usitatissimum (flax)
Lineage: Eukaryota; Viridiplantae; Streptophyta; Magnoliopsida; Malpighiales; Linaceae
Description: long non-coding RNA (LUSI_LNC006183)
Source: RNAcentral
GAGCUCAUUAAUGAAGGCAGUUGAAAAACUUAGGGAAAUGGACUUAUUAUAGCUUGUUACCCCCACAACAGCCCCCUCCCUCUAUAAAAAGAGAUAGAUGAGAGUACCAAGCCCCAUGCAAUUAAUGCAGCGAGUUGCAGUAACAAGAACAAUUCACAAGAAACUGAGAAAGAAAGAAAGAUGGAUGGAAGAGAAAACUGAGGAGAGGCAUUAAUGGAGAAGACAAGACCAAUAAAUUCUGAGAGAGAAGGGGGUAAGUGAAAUCAUUAAUUGCCUUCUUCCCCUCUUUGCUUUUAUCGCUGCAAUUGUCUCUGAGCUUUUGCUUCAUUGCUUUCACCCAUCUGCUCUCUUAUCUUCUUCUGCAGCAGCAACUCACUUCCCCAGAUGGCAUUUAUUGCCCUCUUUUUACUGUUUUUACAUUUUUGCAAUACUACUGAACUCAUCUCCAUGUGGAUUACCCUCUAAUGUUUAAUGUGUUCCUGUUAAUAGAUUCAAGUUACCAGUUAGUUUUGAUGAAAACCUUGCUCAAUUCCGUUUUCUAACUGGAAAUACCACAUUCUAACAGCAACCCACUUAGCAAGAUGAAAGCUUUCCUGGCAAAAUUGGAAGAGCAAAGUAAAAAGCACUAAUCUUGCUAACAACCCAUCAAACUAAACAGAAGCUUUAAAUCCAUCGUCAAUUGGAGACCACUCUGUUUCCAAAAUCAUGGGGGGUUAUUUCUGAAGUCUUUUUUCUUUUUUCGUUUGGUUUCACUCAUCUUACAACUGUAGCUUCUUGUUGAACUCGGAUGGACUCGGUUGACUCAGCUGCUGCUUAGACGACUCCGCCGUCUCUCUGUUGGGGACUUCAGGAGGAGGCGGUUGAGGUCUUGCUGCCGGUGGUGGGGAUGCACAGACUGGAAUCACUGACCUAAUAUGAACAGCAGGAGCCAUCAUCCUUGAAGGAUUAUUAUGGCUGAAAAACCCUCCGGCACCUGGUGUGUAAAUUGGCCUCCCCAUGUGCACAACUGAUUGCAGUGAUCCCAAAACCCUCCUGUCAGCAAACCCUUUAGUGGUAGUAGCCUGAUGUUCCUGUUUAUCAGCUUUAUCAAACAGUGACGCAAUCCUAUGACAACUGUAUUCUUUUUCUGCUGCUGAAAUUGAUGGCAGAAUCUUUGACGUGGUUCUUGGAGGCGGUGGAGGAAGGAGAUACAUGAAUGAUGGACACAACAAGUUCUUUCCUUUUUCAUCUCUAGUAGCUUUCAUGGCUGAUUCCAACAUCAGAUCCAGAAGCCUGCAUUGCUGCUGCACAUUUGAAGUAGAAGAAGAAGCUGAUGAUGAUGGUAAAGAUGGUCCCUUUACCGUUCUUCUCCUUGCCAUAGAAGAAUUGCUGUAAUCCCUCUUUCUAACAACAACCUGUUUUGUUGAGGAAGAGUCUUCUUUACUUCUCAAGUUGGAAAGCACCUUCGCCACAACUGCUUGCUCUUGGUCCUCCUUAUUCUCACCACAACUCCCUCCUCCAGGUUCUUUGUUUGUCAAUGAAUCUAAGCUUGGAGCUGAAAAGGGUACAAACAAAAGGAAAAAAGAACACUUCUUUACAGAACGAAGUAGGAAAAAG